UUACAAAUAAAAAAAGCACCCAAAUGUUUGACUUGGGUAACAAAUCGAACCCUUGAGUUUUAAUUCGGUUCGAUGUUUCGCCCUUCUACAGCCCUAUUCGAUCCAGUUAAGGCUUAUUUUCAAGUAUAUUUAUGCCCAUGCUCCAGAAUUAAGGCUUCUUUUCAAGCAAAUACAUGCCCAUGCUGCAAGAAAAUAAGCUCUAACCGGAUCGAAUAUGGUUUUAAAAUGGGAAAAAACAUCAAACCAUGUUGUUUUCCAAAAAAAGGUUUGACGAGAACUAAUUGCUUCUGUCAACCCUAGGUGAACAGAGACUGAUAAAUAAUUUUAAUUAAAAUUCUAGGAUUCGAUUUAUUACAAUUCAAA
RNAcentral lists this long non-coding RNA (363 nucleotides) under Actinidia chinensis (golden kiwifruit). RNAcentral describes it as "long non-coding RNA (ACHI_LNC003191)". Lineage: Eukaryota; Viridiplantae; Streptophyta; Magnoliopsida; Ericales; Actinidiaceae. The record is from RNAcentral.